Molecule: ribosomal RNA, 468 nt
Filed under: uncultured bacterium
Lineage: Bacteria
Description: partial 16S ribosomal RNA
Rfam family: Bacterial small subunit ribosomal RNA
Source: RNAcentral
GACGAACGCUGGCGGCGUGCUUAACACAUGCAAGUCGAACGGAAAGGCCCUGCUUUUGCGGGGUGCUCGAGUGGCGAACGGGUGAGUAACACGUGAGUAACCUGCCCUUGACUUUGGGAUAACUUCAGGAAACUGGGGCUAAUACCGGAUAGGAGCUCCUGCUGCAUGGUGGGGGUUGGAAAGUUUCGGCGGUUGGGGAUGGACUCGCGGCUUAUCAGCUUGUUGGUGGGGUAGUGGCUUACCAAGGCUUUGACGGGUAGCCGGCCUGAGAGGGUGACCGGCCACAUGGGGACUGAGAUACGGCCCAGACUCCUACGGGAGGCAGCAGUGGGGAAUAUUGCACAAUGGGCGGAAGCCUGAUGCAGCAACGCCGCGUGCGGGAUGACGGCCUUCGGGUUGUAAACCGCUUUCGCCUGUGACGAAGCGUGAGUGACGGUAAUGGGUAAAGAAGCACCGGCUAACUACGUG